RNAcentral lists this ribosomal RNA (232 nucleotides) under uncultured bacterium. Its description in RNAcentral is "partial 16S ribosomal RNA". It matches the Rfam family "Bacterial small subunit ribosomal RNA", at positions 15 to 244 of the family's 1533-position model. The record is from RNAcentral.
GAUCCUGGCUCAGGACGAACGCUGGCGGCGUGCCUAACACAUGCAAGUCGAGCGAGUGGAUUUCCUUCGGGAAUGAAGCUAGCGGCGGACGGGUGAGUAACACGUGGGCAACCUGCCUCAUAGAGGGGAAUAGCCUCCCGAAAGGGAGAUUAAUACCGCAUAAGAUUGUAGCUUCGCAUGAAGUAGCAAUUAAAGGAGUAAUCCGCUAUGAGAUGGGCCCGCGGCGCAUUAG